UUUGGCGUUGGCCUUGCGGGCCAUAAUGCCGUUUCCAACCGCAUGUAAUAAGUGCGUUUUACCCAGACCGGUGCCGCCAUA
Molecule: antisense RNA, 81 nt
Filed under: Lonsdalea britannica
Lineage: Bacteria; Pseudomonadati; Pseudomonadota; Gammaproteobacteria; Enterobacterales; Pectobacteriaceae
Description: antisense RNA of dnaA mRNA
Rfam family: antisense RNA of dnaA mRNA
Source: RNAcentral